This 253-nucleotide ribosomal RNA is filed under the name uncultured bacterium. RNAcentral describes it as "partial 16S ribosomal RNA". It matches the Rfam family "Bacterial small subunit ribosomal RNA", at positions 524 to 776 of the family's 1533-position model. The record is from RNAcentral.
UACGUAGGGCGCAAGUGUUGUCCGGAAUUAUUGGGCGUAAAGAGCUCGUAGGCGGCUUGUCACGUCGGGUGUGAAAGCCCGGGGCUUAACCCCGGGUCUGCAUUCGAUACGGGCUAGCUAGAGUGUGGUAGGGGAGAUCGGAAUUCCUGGUGUAGCGGUGAAAUGCGCAGAUAUCAGGAGGAACACCGGUGGCGAAGGCGGAUCUCUGGGCCAUUACUGACGCUGAGGAGCGAAAGCAUGGGGAGCGAACAGG